This 248-nucleotide ribosomal RNA is filed under the name uncultured bacterium. RNAcentral's name for it is "partial 16S ribosomal RNA". It matches the Rfam family "Bacterial small subunit ribosomal RNA", at positions 29 to 303 of the family's 1533-position model. The record is from RNAcentral.
AGCGAACGCUGGCGGAAUGCUUAACACAUGCAAGUCGCACGCCCUGGCAACAGGGAGUGGCGGACGGGUGAGUAACGCGUAGGAAUAUAUCCGAAGGUGGGGACAACCCUGGGAAACUGGGGCUAAUACCGCAUGGGGGCUGAGGCCCAAAGCCGUGAGGCGCCUUUUGGAGUAGCCUGCGUCCGAUUAGGUAGUUGGUGGGGUAAAGGCCUACCAAGCCUGCGAUCGGUAGCUGGUCGAGAGGACGA